RNAcentral lists this ribosomal RNA (467 nucleotides) under uncultured bacterium. RNAcentral describes it as "bacterial SSU rRNA". It matches the Rfam family "Bacterial small subunit ribosomal RNA", at positions 337 to 796 of the family's 1533-position model. The record is from RNAcentral.
ACCUACGGGGGGCAGCAGUGGGGAAUUGUUCACAAUGGGCGCAAGCCUGAUGACGCAACGCCGCGUGGGGGAUGAAGGUCUUCGGAUUGUAAACCCCUGUCGAAUGGGACGAAAGACCCGGGAGCUAAUCAUCUCGGGAGUGACGGUACCGUUAAAGGAAGCCACGGCUAACUCUGUGCCAGCAGCCGCGGUAAUACAGAGGUGGCAAGCGUUGUUCGGAAUUACUGGGCGUAAAGGGCGCGUAGGCGGCCAUCUAAGUCAGACGUGAAAUCCCCCGGCUUAACCUGGGAACUGCGUCUGAUACUGGACGGCUCGAGUUUGGGAGAGGGAUGCAGAAUUCCAGGUGUAGCGGUGAAAUGCGUAGAUAUCUGGAGGAAUACCGGUGGCGAAGGCGGCAUCCUGGACCAACACUGACGCUGAGGCGCGAAAGCUAGGGGAGCAAACGGGAUUAGAUACCCGUGUAGUCC